UGCGUAGGGUGCGAGCGUUGUCCGGAAUUAUUGGGCGUAAAGAGCUCGUAGGCGGUGUGUCACGUCGGCCGUGAAAACCUGCAGCUUAACUGUGGGCGUGCGGUCGAUACGGGCAUCACUGGAGUUCGGCAGGGGAGACUGGAAUUCCUGGUGUAGCGGUGAAAUGCGCAGAUAUCAGGAGGAACACCGGUGGCGAAGGCGGGUCUCUGGGCCGAUACUGACGCUGAGGAGCGAAAGCGUGGGGAGCGAACAGG
Molecule: ribosomal RNA, 254 nt
Filed under: uncultured bacterium
Lineage: Bacteria
Description: partial 16S ribosomal RNA
Rfam family: Bacterial small subunit ribosomal RNA
Source: RNAcentral